CGGUGAUCACACAGACAGACCCAGUCACUCUGAACUGCCAGGCUCCAUCACAUCUCACUUUGUCUGACUGUUAUUUUCGUAUGGUGAGAGGAAAAACUGGCAGACGUCUCCCUUGUCUGCACACGCAUACAGGAAGUGAGUUGCUGAGGCUCUCCAAUCAGAGUUCACCUGCUGAGGUUCAAGUGACGUGCCUUUACCUUCACGUGUCUCAGUCUCCGGACAGUGAUCUAUCCUCCAUUGUCAUUUGAACUCUUCUUCCACCGACCCUGAGAGUGAGUCCAGCGGUGACCAACGAGACCGACUCAGUCACCCUGCACUGUCAGACUCCUUCAUCUGUUUCUGUGCCUCGGUGUUAUUUCUUCACUCCAAGUGGAGGAACUGUAAGAGAGCUCUCAUGUCUGCAGACGCUGACAGGAAGUGAGCUGCUGAAGAUGGCCCAUCAGAGUCCCCCCGCUGGCGUUCAGCUGACGUGUUUCUACACUGUGAAGGUUGGAGAGAAAAGUUAUCCAUCGCCACACAGUGACACAUCGUCCAUCACCAUACACAGGAGGACUGUUGGUACAACAAGUACCACUGGUACAAGUAUCUCUACUUUCCCAACAUCAGUCAAACCAGCAGCAG
This is a long non-coding RNA of Etheostoma cragini (Arkansas darter), 621 nucleotides long. RefSeq lists it as uncharacterized. The record is from RefSeq and is a predicted model, not a curated record. The transcript is spliced from 3 exons. NCBI's taxonomy places the organism in Eukaryota, Metazoa, Chordata, Actinopteri, Perciformes, Percidae.